AUGCAGCAUAUGUUUAAACACAGUUGUGGAUGAUAACAGUAGAGGAAAAGCUGAGCUGAUCUGCGGCCAUCUCUUUCACUUAGAUUGUAUCGGUUCGGAAUUCAAUUACAGAAGCGAAAUGAAAUGCCCAAACUGUAGGGUGGUGGAAAAUGGUGAAUGGCUAAUUCCAGAUGAGGAAAUGGAGGAAGACGACGACUAUUUAGUGCACGUGCGCCGUCUUGAACUCCACAUAUACACACAUGGACUUGGUGGAAGGGGUGGUUAUCUGCAGUCUUCCAGG
Molecule: long non-coding RNA, 280 nt
Organism: Salvia splendens (bonfire salvia)
Lineage: Eukaryota; Viridiplantae; Streptophyta; Magnoliopsida; Lamiales; Lamiaceae
Exons: 3
Source: RefSeq, a predicted model, not a curated record